CGGGUUCGUUCGAUUCCACCUCCGUCUCCGUCGUCUCAGCUUCUCCCGAAGCAAAGGGUACGAGGUUUAGUAAGCGGAGAGGAUAGCCGCUAGA
This 94-nucleotide small RNA is filed under the name Arabidopsis thaliana (thale cress). RNAcentral's name for it is "ATSL251020". Lineage: Eukaryota; Viridiplantae; Streptophyta; Magnoliopsida; Brassicales; Brassicaceae. The record is from RNAcentral.